CAGUGAAGUUCAUUAUAGACCAGACCAUAUCUUAUAUAGUCCCAUGAUUCUUCUUAUCUCGUUGAGUUGAGAUGUACUAAGAGCAGUCCAAUAUGAAACUAUGCCAUAUCUCAUAUUCUUAUCUAUACCAUGACUGAUCAUCGGUAAAAAUAACGAAGUAAAGAUAAUUUCUUGGUUAGUACAUCAUAUGGGCUACACAUAUCAAAUGUGUACAAGGAUAAGUAUUUCAGUAGUCCUUUUUCUCUUAUCCCACAAGAGUGGCUUAGUCAUAUUUCCUCAAAGAGAUGAUGCGCAAACUAGGUAUGACUCGAUAGUCAAUGAGCCCAAAGGCC
Molecule: long non-coding RNA, 332 nt
Filed under: Elaeis guineensis (African oil palm)
Lineage: Eukaryota; Viridiplantae; Streptophyta; Magnoliopsida; Arecales; Arecaceae
Description: long non-coding RNA (EGUI_LNC075754)
Source: RNAcentral